Non-coding RNA from Pelobates cultripes (western spadefoot toad), 267 nucleotides. Lineage: Eukaryota; Metazoa; Chordata; Amphibia; Anura; Pelobatidae. The record is from the annotation of a GenBank genome assembly.
GGUUGUCGUCCGACGGCCUGGGGCGUAGUGCUCUGUGUGCCCGCUCAUAGCUGAAUGUGUGUGGGGCAUCCGCUCCCAGGAUCAUGUGAAAGAUGUCAUUGAGGAUGUUUUCAGUAUUUUCCCCGUCUGCUUCAGGGACCCCACGGACCCUAAUGUUGCAUCUUCUCCCCCUAUUGUCCAGAUCCUCUAUUGUUCUCCUCAUGUGUAGGAGCAUUUCCCCCUGGCGUGCAAGGGCUGUAUCGGUCGCCUGCAGCCUAGUGGCCUGAG